RNAcentral lists this ribosomal RNA (300 nucleotides) under uncultured Collinsella sp. RNAcentral describes it as "partial 16S ribosomal RNA". The stretch from base 53 to 300 matches the Rfam family "Bacterial small subunit ribosomal RNA", at positions 547 to 795 of the family's 1533-position model. Lineage: Bacteria; Bacillati; Actinomycetota; Coriobacteriia; Coriobacteriales; Coriobacteriaceae. The record is from RNAcentral.
GGCGAGCGGGGGGCCGGCAGCGUGGGGAAGACGGGGGGGUGAAAGGUGGUGAGGAAUGACUGGGAGUAAGGCGGGGGCAGGCUGCUGCGAAAGUAGCGGGUGAAGGCCCGGGGCUCAACAGGGGAGGGGCACGUGAAACCGGGGGGCUGGAAGGCCGGAGAGGGGAGCGGAAUUUUCGGGGGAGGGGUGAAAUUCGUAGAUAUCGAGAGGAAAACCGGUGGCGAAGGCGGCAACCUGGACGGUUAUUGACGCUGAGACGGAAAAGCGUGGGGACCAAACAGGAUUAGAUACCCAGUAGUC